GAUGAACGCUGGCGGCGUGCCUAAUACAUGCAAGUCGAGCGAACAGACGAGGAGCUUGCUCCUCUGACGUUAGCGGCGGACGGGUGAGUAACACGUGGAUAACCUACCUAUAAGACUGGGAUAACUUCGGGAAACCGGAGCUAAUACCGGAUAAUAUAUUGAACCGCAUGGUUCAAUAGUGAAAGACGGUUUUGCUGUCACUUAUAGAUGGAUCCGCGCCGCAUUAGCUAGUUGGUAAGGUAACGGCUUACCAAGGCAACGAUGCGUAGCCGACCUGAGAGGGUGAUCGGCCACACUGGAACUGAGACACGGUCCAGACUCCUACGGGAGGCAGCAGUAGGGAAUCUUCCGCAAUGGGCGAAAGCUUGACGGAGCAACGCCGCGUGAGUGAUGAAGGUCUUCGGAUCGUAAAACUCUGUUAUUAGGGAAGAACAAAUGUGUAAGUAACUAUGCACGUCUUGACGGUACCUAAUAGAAAGCCACGGCUAACUACGUG
Molecule: ribosomal RNA, 496 nt
Filed under: uncultured bacterium
Lineage: Bacteria
Description: partial 16S ribosomal RNA
Rfam family: Bacterial small subunit ribosomal RNA
Source: RNAcentral